Molecule: ribosomal RNA, 443 nt
Filed under: uncultured cyanobacterium
Lineage: Bacteria; Bacillati; Cyanobacteriota
Description: bacterial SSU rRNA
Rfam family: Bacterial small subunit ribosomal RNA
Source: RNAcentral
AUGUUGGGUUAAGUCCAGCAACGAGCGCAACCCUUGUUCCUAGUUGCCAGCAUUGAGUUGGGCACUCUAGGGAGACUGCCGGUGACAAACCGGAGGAAGGUGAGGAUGACGUCAAGUCAGCAUGCCCCUUACGCUCUGGGCUACACACGUGCUACAAUGGCGCGGACAAAGGGUCGCGAGCGCGCGAGCGUGAGCCAAUCCCAAAAACCGCGUCUCAGUUCAGAUCGCAGGCUGCAACUCGCCUGCGUGAAGGCGGAAUCGCUAGUAAUCGCAGAUCAGCAUGCUGCGGUGAAUACGUUCCCGGGCCUUGUACACACCGCCCGUCACACCAUGGGAGCUGGCCAUGCCCGAAGUCGGAGCACCCGCCGAAGGCAGGGCUGGUGACUGGGGUGAAGUCGUAACAAGGUAGCCGUACCGGAAGGUGCGGCUGGAUCACCUCCUUU